This is a long non-coding RNA of Marmota monax (woodchuck), 2323 nucleotides long. RefSeq lists it as uncharacterized. The transcript has 3 exons. Lineage: Eukaryota; Metazoa; Chordata; Mammalia; Rodentia; Sciuridae. The record is from RefSeq and is a predicted model, not a curated record.
AAAAGCUCAGCUCUAACCUGCCCUUGACUCACCAGGACUCCUCAGCUCAGCUUCUCAAAAUGAGGCUCCCUGCUCAGCUCCUGGGGCUGCUGCUGCUCUGGAUCCCUGGAUUCAGUUGGGAUGUUGUUCUGACCCAGACUCCUCUCUCUGAGCCCAUUGCCCCUGGACAGCCAGCCUCCAUCUCCUGCAGGUCCAGUCAGAGAACCUACACAGAAGCAUCUGGGAUAUAGUGAGGAUGCAGUUUCCACUCUCCCUGCCUGAUACCCUUGACUCCCUGCCUUCAUCUUGGGAAGGAUCAGAGUUGGAAAAGUCACUCAUAUGUCACCAAGAGGGUGAAAGGUUGUGCCGUGGUGUUGAAGGUGAUUCCUACAUAAUAGAGCUCCUGGUGAAUGUAACUGAAAUCUCAAGGUCCUAUUUGUGAUGAGUAUUAAAUUUAUAUGUGAAUAUUUAUUUAUGUAGAAGAAAAAUUUUGUAAAUUUUAAAAGAAUGCUGUGAAUAGGUAAUUUUUAAAUAUUUGGAAUCCAAUAAAGGUGAAAGAAGCAAUUUUGGUGAAGGGAAACUGAUUAAAACCAGACAGUUAGUUGUCCUUGUUUGGAGAAACCACUGAAGACGCUGCUCACAAAGAGCAAUCACUCAGAGAGACAUGGAGGGUGUAAAAGGCAGACACAAGGAGGCAUGAAUUAGUGGGUGAAUGUGCACUAAUACUGGCUGCACAAAUGACCUUGUACAGAUGGAGCUGUACAUAAACCUGGAGAGCUUGAAAAGCAGUGUGUUAGCAGAAAAAAGGGAAAUAAAUGUAAUUAAAAAUUAUACUGUUUAAGAGUGGAAAAAGUCAUUCCUCUGGCUGUGGGAAUGGAAACCAGAGCUUCUGCCCAAGAGGCACCUGCUCCACCAAUGACCAACAUCCCCCAACAUACUCAAGACCAACCCUGAGCCAGAGCCACACAGGAAGCCCCGGCCAGAUUCCUUACACACAGAAAGGCAGGGUGGUGGGGAGGAUAAAAUGCUAAUGGCUUAGCUGCUGGGGUGGGGCAAUAUUUUACACAAAAUUAUACAAUACAUGCAGAGAAACAGUAAGAAGUUUAAAAAAAAAAACUGAUGGCAAAGCUGUAUUGUCUAUUCGCCACACAAAGUAAUGUUGUUUCCCUGGGUAACGUAAACAUGCAUGUACCUGACAUAAUGUUAGCAUCACAGAAAGAAGGUCUAUGCCUGGAAGUGUUGAGUAAUUCCUGAAUUGUCCAUGAAGUGUAAGAGUGAUAAUGAGCUGACAUAUCUCUAAAAAUAAAGAGUAUCUUUUGUUUUCUCUUUCAUGGUUUGCCUUGUUAAAGAGUGAUGGUGGGGGGACAGUUUUCUUUAACAGAUAAAAAUAAUGUUCAAUAAGUCACUCACAUUCCAGGCCUUCUCUCCCACAGUAGCAGAGGAAGGAGGCCAUGGGCUCCACAUGGUGCACACAUGAGGAUGGAGCCUCCCUAGCCUGGUUCCCCACAGGAUUGUGUGAAGCACCCCUGCCUGGCCCAGGAGCACACAGCCUUAACAAUAUGCUAUGCUGCCUGCUGUGACAAGUACAGUGGUGACCUCCAUCCUGAAUGCUGUGAAUGCACAAAAGACAACUAAGUGACAGCAACAAGAGACCAUGAUGUCUCAUUCAGUUCCUAUAAUGAUGCUGUCUUAACAGAUAAAAAUGUAAAAUACAAUUUAUUCUUGAAAUAUAGAUCUGCUUCUCCAGGGCUGAGGCUAUGGUGAGUGUAUUUCCAGGUUCACAUCGUCCUCUGGUGGGCAAGAAGUGGAACAUCCUAAUACAGAUUUCAGUGAGAGGAACCUACCUGAAGGUGAGCCACCUCUGUGUCCACAGGGUCCUGUGCCCUCUGCUCUCCACAAUAAUGCUCUAAAUCUCCAGGAAACCAGCUCGCCCACCUGUCUAUCAAAAGGGCAUACACUCACACCCAGAGAGAAGUUCAGAACUCACUGUUAUGCCUGGGAACAAGGGAAGAGGGCAGAGCAGAUGUGUCUAACCAGGUCCCUCACUGAGUUCAGAACAAGCUUAGGCUAAAACCAGGUGUCAAGUAAAACCAGGUGUCCUGUCCUCUUUCUCCUGUACAGAGUCCAGAUCCAAGAAACAGCUGGAUCAAAAACAUCCAACAUACACCUUUCCAAAUACACUGAACUUAUUUCAUGAUCUCCUACAAGAUGGACUUCUUUUGGCAUCUAGGACCAGUGUAAAGUGAACAAAUACCUUCCUGUUCCCAUUCUUGUCUCUUGGAACAGUUUGAACCUCAGCUUGGAAACUUUAUCUUUUUCUCAUCACAAGUAAUAAAAUUUGUGC